Long non-coding RNA from Papaver somniferum (opium poppy), 1531 nucleotides. RefSeq lists it as uncharacterized. The transcript has 2 exons. Lineage: Eukaryota; Viridiplantae; Streptophyta; Magnoliopsida; Ranunculales; Papaveraceae. The record is from RefSeq and is a predicted model, not a curated record.
CCAUUCAUUGAUGGCUCUGUUUCGGUGAUUUAAGCGAGAGAGAGUGGGAGGGAAGAUUGAAAAUUCCAUGUCUCGGGUCUAUAGUGUCUUCCAUACUAAAAAAAAGUUUCAUCAGCUAUUGCAAUUAGUUUUAGAGCGUCUGGAAGUGGGUUUCCUUUAUUCUUACCUGAAGAAGUUGAGAAAAUCAAAGACCCAUAUGCUAGAAAACUUGCUCAACGGAUUAAGAGAUUACCAUUACAGGGAUUUCAUGUAGAAGAAAAUCACUGGGAGUAUAUCCAAGGAAAUCAACAACAUUAAAAAAUUGAAGCUGUUGUAAGUUGUUUACAUUGCUUAUUAUUGUUUCAAUCAGACCCAAGUUGACACCAUGUGAUUGCUACGCCAAUGCUAUUAUGACUUGUGUAUUGCAGUCUCUUGAAUCGAAACAGAUUGACAGGUUCCUUAGCGGAGGAACUUGGUGGUCUUCCAAAUUUGGAAAAUAAUUUAGAUAGACGAGAAAUUCAUAUCAAUACCAUUGCCUAAAUCAUUUGCCAACUUGUUAAAAAUAAUGCACUUGGAGUAGUGAAUUACGCACUGUACUGGCCAGUGGAUUCUCCGGAACUCUCAGGCUCCAAGUUAAGUGCCUCCUAUGCUGGUAACUAAACUGUGGUAUUUGAGCUCUUUACUUGCAUUAUCUGGACUUAAAUUUUGCUAUAUAUUUUAUAUGAUUCUACAAAAGACAUCUCAGUUUGUUUAUCUAUUCAACGAAGCACAUGAAAGUAUAUCCCAUUUGGAGAGUAUCCAGAUGUAACAACCCUUGACUAGAUAGUUUGUUGCUAGACUAUUUUUUGUCCUUAAAAAUGUCUGUGUGAUGGGAGAACCUGAAUAAUUAAGUUUUGAGGAAUUCAUAGAUAGUCGACACUCGACAAGUAGGACUGGUAUUAUAGAUUGCUAAAUGCUGGUGUGCGUAGAGCAUAAUAACUCUAAGCUCCUGAUCUUUUGAACUUAGUCAGUAAUCAAUACUGUCGUGUCCGAAGUUCCAUAGAAUAAACAAUCUGGACUACGGGACUACGAAAUGCAUGCAUUUUGGUUAAUUUAAUGGCUAUAUUAUGUGUUUGUAACUAGAGAAUAGGCCACAAACAUUCAAACUUGUUCAUUAAUCAAGGUAUAUAUCAUAAGAUCUAAAUUACUGAUGUAUGGAUAAUAUUAUAGGCUUUUACUUGGUAUUUGCAGGUAGCUAAUGAGAUGGACAAGCUACAUAUCAGGAUUGGAUUCAUGCCGUGCUUAAAUUCACUCGUUCAGACAAUGACUGCAUGUUCUCCCAUACUAAAGAUUCUUAAUCUUUUCUUGGUUCCUCGAUAAGGAAGUCGUAAGUUACAUGUGAUCUCAGUUUGAUACGUUGUUCGUGGAAAGUCAAUUUUUUCUUAAAAAGUUCAGAUAGAUGGCAAGUCCCAAGAGGAUUGUGGCCAUCCCUGACAUAUUUGUGUGCCAAUAGUUUACCUGACUGGGAAACACCCAGUUCAUUCUAUAAUGCGACUAAGUUUAUUCUACUGUA